AACGAACGCUGGCGGCAUGCCUAACACAUGCAAGUCGAACGGGAUCCGGACUUCGGUCCGGUGAGAGUGGCGGACGGGUGAGUAACACGUGGGAACCUGCCUUUUGGUUCGGGAUAACCGCGGGAAACUGCGGCUAAUACCGGAUGCUCCCGAGAGGGAAAAGAUUUAUCGCCAGAAGAGGGGCCCGCGUCCGAUUAGGUAGUUGGUGGGGUAAUGGCCUACCAAGCCGACGAUCGGUAGCUGGUCUGAGAGGAUGAUCAGCCACACUGGGACUGAGAUACGGCCCAGACUCCUACGGGAGGCAGCAGUGGGGAAUAUUGGACAAUGGGCGCAAGCCUGAUCCAGCCAUGCCGCGUGAGUGAUGAAGGCCCUAGGGUUGUAAAGCUCUUUUGUGCGGGAAGAUAAUGACGGUACCGCAAGAAUAAGCCCCGGCUAACUCCGUGCCAGCAGCCGCGGUAAU
RNAcentral lists this ribosomal RNA (460 nucleotides) under uncultured bacterium. RNAcentral's name for it is "bacterial SSU rRNA". It matches the Rfam family "Bacterial small subunit ribosomal RNA", at positions 29 to 524 of the family's 1533-position model. The record is from RNAcentral.